Molecule: ribosomal RNA, 453 nt
Filed under: uncultured Porphyromonadaceae bacterium
Lineage: Bacteria; Pseudomonadati; Bacteroidota; Bacteroidia; Bacteroidales; Porphyromonadaceae
Description: partial 16S ribosomal RNA
Rfam family: Bacterial small subunit ribosomal RNA
Source: RNAcentral
ACGGAAGGCAGCAGUGAGGAAUAUUGGUCAAUGGACGGAAGUCUGAACCAGCCAAGUCGCGUGAAGGAAGACGGUUCUAUGGAUUGUAAACUUCUUUUGUCCGAGGGUAAAGUGAGAGAUGCGUCUCUUAUUGCAAGUAUCGGACGAAUAAGCAUCGGCUAACUCCGUGCCAGCAGCCGCGGUAAUACGGAGGAUGCGAGCGUUAUCCGGAUUUAUUGGGUUUAAAGGGUGCGUAGGCGGAUGAUUAAGUCUGUGGUGAAAGCGUGCGGCUCAACCGUACCGAGCCAUGGAAACUGGUUGUCUUGAGUGUAAACGAGGUAGGCGGAAUGUGACAUGUAGCGGUGAAAUGCUUAGAUAUGUCACAGAACUCCGAUUGCGAAGGCAGCUUACCAGCAUACAACUGACGCUGAGGCACGGAAGCGUGGGUAUCAAACAGGAUUAGAUACCCUGGUA